GACGAACGCUGGCGGCGUGCCUAAUACAUGCGAGUUGAGCGAUGAAGAUUGGUGCUUGCACCAAUUUGAAGAGCAGCGAACGGGUGAGUAACGCGUGGGGAAUCUGCCUUUGAGCGGGGGACAACAUUUGGAAACGAAUGCUAAUACCGCAUAACAACUUUAAACAUAAGUUUUAAGUUUGAAAGAUGCAAUUGCAUCACUCAAAGAUGAUCCCGCGUUGUAUUAGCUAGUUGGUGAGGUAAAGGCUCACCAAGGCGAUGAUACAUAGCCGACCUGAGAGGGUGAUCGGCCACAUUGGGACUGAGACACGGCCCAAACUCCUACGGGAGGCAGCAGUAGGGAAUCUUCGGCAAUGGACGAAAGUCUGACCGAGCAACGCCGCGUGAGUGAAGAAGGUUGUCGGAUCGUAAAACUCUGUUGGUAGAGAAGAACGUUGGUGAGAGUGGAAAGCUCAUCAAGUGACGGUAACUACCCAGAAAGGGACGGCUAACUACGUG
RNAcentral lists this ribosomal RNA (497 nucleotides) under uncultured bacterium. RNAcentral describes it as "partial 16S ribosomal RNA". It matches the Rfam family "Bacterial small subunit ribosomal RNA", at positions 28 to 507 of the family's 1533-position model. The record is from RNAcentral.